Long non-coding RNA from Oncorhynchus tshawytscha (Chinook salmon), 2413 nucleotides. The record is from Ensembl. NCBI's taxonomy places the organism in Eukaryota, Metazoa, Chordata, Actinopteri, Salmoniformes, Salmonidae.
AAGAUUUGGCAUGGGUCCCCAGAUCCUCAAAAAUGUCAACAGCUGCACCAUCGAGAGCAUCCUGACCGGUUGCAUCAGACUGUAAGACACUACAGAGGGUAGUGCGUACGUACGGCCCAGUACAUCACUGGGGCCAAGCUUCCUGACAUCCAGGACCUCUAUACUAGAGGAGAGAAGACGAGAGGAGAGAAGAGGAGGGGAGAGAAGAGGAGAGGAGAGAAGAGGAGGGGAGAGAAGAGGAGGGGGAGAAGAGGAGGGGAGAGAAGAGGAGAGGAGAGAAGAGGAGGGGAGAGAAGAGGAGAGGAGGGAAGAGGAGAGGAGAGAAGAGGAGUGGAGAGAAGAGGAGAGGAGAGGAGAGGAGAGAAGAGGAGGGGGAGAAGAGGAGGGGAGAGAAGAGGAGAUGAGAGAAGAGGGGGGGAGAAGAGGAGUGGAGAGAAGAGGAGGGGAGAGAAGAGGAGAGGAAAGAGGAGAGGAGAGAAGAGGAGGGGAGAAGAGGAGGGAGAGAAGAGGAGAUGAGAGAAGAGGAGUGGAGAGAAGAGGAGAGGAGAGAAGAGGAGGGGAGAGAAGAGGGAGAGGAGAGAAGAGGAGUGGAGAGAAGAGGAGAGGAAAGAGGAGAUGAGAAAAGAGGAGUGGAGAGAAGAGGAGAGGAGAGAGGAGGAGGGGAGAGAAGAGGAGGGGGAGAAGAGGAGGGGAGAAGAGGAGAGGAGAGAAGAGGAGGGGAGAAGGAGGGGAGAGAAGAGGAGAGAAGAGGAGAGGAGAGAAGAGGAGGGGAGAGAAGAGGAGGGGGAGAAGAGGAGGGGAGAGAAGAGGAGAGGGAGUGGAGAGAAGAGGAGAGGAGAGAAGAGGAGUGGAGAGAAGAGGAGGGGAGAGGAGGGGAGAGAAGAGGAGAGGAGAGAAGAGGAGGGGAGAGAAGAGGAGGGGGAGAAAAUGAGGGGAGAGAAGAGGAGGGGAGAGAAGAGGAGAGGAGGGAAGAGGAGAGAAGAGGAGGGGAGAGAAGAGGAGAGAAGAGGAGGGGGAGAAGAGGAGGGGGAGAAGUGGAGGGGAGAGAAGAGGAGGGGGAGAAGAGGAGUGGAGAGAAGAGGAGGGGAGAGAAGAGGAGGGGAGAGAAGAGGAGAGGAGAGAAGAGGAGAGAAGAGGAGGGGGGAGAAGAGGAGGGGAGAGAAGAGGAGGGGGAGAAGAGGAGGGGAGAGAAGAGGAGAGGAGAGAAGAGGAGGGGAGAAAAGGAGGGGAGAGAAGAGGAGAGGAGAGAAGAGGAGGGGAGAGAAGAGGAGAGGAGGGAGGGGAGAGAAGAGGAGGGGAGAGAAGAGGAGAGAAGAGGAGGGGAGAGAAGAGGAGGGGGAGAAGAGGAGGGGAGAGAAGAGGAGGGGGAGAAGAGGAGGGGAGAGAAGAGGAGGGGAGAGAAGAGGAGAGGAGGGAAGAGGAGAGAAGAGGAGGGGAGAGAAGAGGAGGGGGAGAAAAGGAGGGGAGAGAAGAGGAGAGGAGAGAAGAGGAGGGGAGAGAAGAGGAGAGGAGGGAAGGGGAGAGAAGAGGAGGGGAGAGAAGAGGAGAGAAGAGGAGGGGAGAGAAGAGGAGGGGGAGAAGAGGAGGGGGAGAAGAGGAGUGGAGAGAAGAGGGGGAGAGAAGAGGAGAGGAGGGAAGAGGAGAGGAGAGAAGAGGAGAGAGAGGAGAGGAGAGAAGAGGAGGGGGAGAAGAGGAGGGGAGAGAAGAGGAGAUGAGAGAAGAGGAGGGGGAGAAGAGGAGGGGAGAGAAGAGGAGGGGGAGAAGAGGAGUGGAGAGAAGAGGAGGGGAGAGAAGAGGAGAGGAAAGAGGAGAGGAGAGAAGAGGAGGGGGAGAAGAGGAGGGGAGAGAAGAGGAGUGGAGAGAAGAGGAGAGGAGAGAAGAGGAGGGGAGAGAAGAGGAGAGGAGAGAAGAGGAGUGGAGAGAAGAGGAGAGGAAAGAGGAGAUGAGAAAAGAGGAGUGGAGAGAAGAGGAGAGGAGAGAGGAGGAGGGGAGAGAAGAGGAGGGGGAGAAGAGGAGGGGAGAGAAGAGGAGAGGAGAGAAGAGGAGGGGGAGAAGGAGGGAGAGAAGAGGAGAGAAGAGGAGAGGAGAGAAGAGGAGGGGAGAGAAGAGGAGGGGGAGAAGAGGAGGGGAGAGAAGAGGAGAGGAGUGGAGAGAAGAGGAGAGGAGAGAAGAGGAGAGGAGAGAAGAGGAGGGGAGAGGGGGGGAGAGAAGAGGAGAGGAGAGAAGAGGAGGGGAGAGAAGAGGAGGGGGAGAAAAUGAGGGGAGAGAAGAGGAGGGGAGAGAAGAGGAGAGGAGGGAAGAGGAGAGAAGAGGAGGGGAGAGAAGAGGAGAGAAGAGGAGGGGAGAGAAGAGGAGGGGGAGAAAAGGAGGGGAGAGAAGAGGAGGGGGAGAAGAGGAGUGGAGAGAAGAGGAG